UCAUAUGGUAUAGGUGCAGGUGGUGGCCUGUAAGUGUCUGGAAUUGAAGAUUCAAGAUUUGGAUCAACUAAAAAACCCGUAGAGAGCACAAUCGAUGUGCCAGUAUGGGAGGACAAAGGCUGAUGCUCCUCUAACACUCUUGGAUACUGUAGUGAAUUGUAUAUUGUAGCUUCCGCCAAGGCCAGUUCCUCACACAACUGAAAAUACAAGGAAAGCGAAUCAAAUAAAGGUCGUAAUAUUGGCGGAGACGACUGCCAGGCAUCUUCAUCUUCUGCUACAAAUCAAUCAUUCCAU
Daucus carota subsp. sativus is the source of this 294-nucleotide long non-coding RNA. RefSeq lists it as uncharacterized. The record is from RefSeq and is a predicted model, not a curated record. Lineage: Eukaryota; Viridiplantae; Streptophyta; Magnoliopsida; Apiales; Apiaceae. The transcript has 3 exons.